Molecule: ribosomal RNA, 919 nt
Filed under: bacterium enrichment culture clone L55B-43
Lineage: Bacteria
Description: bacterial SSU rRNA
Rfam family: Bacterial small subunit ribosomal RNA
Source: RNAcentral
AGAGUUUGAUCAUGGCUCAGGACUAACGCUGGCGGCGUGCCUAACACAUGCAAGUCGAACGCAUCUGUGCUUCGGUACAGAUGAGUGGCGAACGGGUGAGUAACACGUGAGUAACUCCCCUUGGGGAGGGGGAUAACCAUCUGAAAAGGUGGCUAAUACCCCAUAUUCUCCUUUUUUGCCAAAGAAAGGAGGAAAGAUGGCGUAAGCUAUCACCCCGAGAGAGGCUCGCGUCCCAUCAGCUAGUUGGUAGGGUAAUGGCCUACCAAGGCUAUGACGGGUAGCUGGUCUGAGAGGAUGGUCAGCCACACUGGGACUGAGACACGGCCCAGACUCCUACGGGAGGCAGCAGUGAGGAAUCUUGGGCAAUGGGCGAAAGCCUGACCCAGCGACGCCGCGUGGAGGAAGAAGGCCUUCGGGUCGUAAACUCCUGUUCGGGGAGAAGAACAGGAGAGGAGUGAAUAACUUCUCUCCCUGACGGUAUCCCCGGAGAAAGCUCCGGCUAAUUACGUGCCAGCAGCCGCGGUAAUACGUAAGGAGCGAGCGUUGUCCGGAUUUACUGGGCGUAAAGAGCUCGUAGGUGGUUUCUUAGGUCUCACGUGAAAUUCCCUGGCUCAACUGGGGAGGGUCGUGGGAAACCGAGAAGCUAGAGGGCAGGAGAGGAGAGUGGAAUUCCCGGUGUAGCGGUGAAAUGCGUAGAGAUCGGGAGGAACACCAGUGGUGAAGACGGCUCUCUGGACUGUCCCUGACACUGAGGAGCGAAAGCCAGGGGAGCAAACCGGAUUAGAUACCCGGGUAGUCCUGGCUGUAAACGAUGGGUACUAGGUAUGGGGGGUUCGACCCCCUCCGUGCCGCAGUUAACGCAUUAAGUACCCCGCCAGGGGAGUACGGCCGCAAGGUUGAAACUCAAAUGAAUUGACGG